AUUGAACGCUGGCGGCAUGCUUUACACAUGCAAGUCGGACGAGUGGCGAACGGGUGAGUAACGCAUCGGAACGUACCGAGUAAUGGGGGAUAACUGUCCGAAAGGACAGCUAAUACCGCAUAUUAUUCGAGCGGCCGAUGUCUGAUUCGCUGGUGGGCGGGGUAAAGGCCCACCAAGGAGCCGACCAGUAGCGGGUCUGAGAGGAUGCUCCGCCCGACUGGCACUGAGGCACUGCCCCGACUCCUACGGGGGGCGGCGGUGGGGAAUUUUGGACACUGGGCGCAAGCCUGCUCCAGCCAUGCCGCGUGUCUGAAGAAGUCCUUCGGGUUGUAAAGGACUUUUGUCAGGGAAGCGGUACCUGAAGAAUAAGCACCGGCUAACUACGUGCCAGCAGCCGCGGUAAUAC
RNAcentral lists this ribosomal RNA (406 nucleotides) under uncultured bacterium. RNAcentral describes it as "partial 16S ribosomal RNA". It matches the Rfam family "Bacterial small subunit ribosomal RNA", at positions 30 to 526 of the family's 1533-position model. The record is from RNAcentral.